GCAUAUCAAUAAGCGGAGGAAAAGAAACCAACAGGGAUUGCCCUAGUAACGGCGAGUGAAGCGGCAACAGCUCAAAUUUGAAAUCUGGCUCUUUCAGAGUCCGAGUUGUAAUUUGCAGAGGGCGCUUUGGCUUUGGCAGCGGUCCAAGUUCCUUGGAACAGGACGUCACAGAGGGUGAGAAUCCCGUACGUGGUCGCUAGCUAUUGCCGUGUAAAGCCCCUUCGACGAGUCGAGUUGUUUGGGAAUGCAGCUCUAAAUGGGAGGUAAAUUUCUUCUAAAGCUAAAUAUUGGCCAGAGACCGAUAGCGCACAAGUAGAGUGAUCGAAAGAUGAAAAGCACUUUGGAAAGAGAGUCAAACAGCACGUGAAAUUGUUGAAAGGGAAGCGCUUGCAGCCAGACUUGCUUGCAGUUGCUCAUCCGGGCUUUUGCCCGGUGCACUCUUCUGCAGGCAGGCCAGCAUCAGUUUGGGCGGUGGGAUAAAGGUCUCUGACACGUUCCUUCCUUCGGGUUGGCCAUAUAGGGGAGACGUCAUACCACCAGCCUGGACUGAGGUCCGCGCAUCUGCUAGGAUGCUGGCGUAAUGGCUGUAAGCGGCCCGUCUUGAAACACGGACCAAGGAGUCUAACAUCUAUGCGAGUGUUUGGGUGUCAAGCCCGAGCGCGUAAUGAAAGUGAACGGAGGUGGGAACCCGCAAGGGUGCACCAUCGACCGAUCCUGAAGUUUACGGAAGGAUUUGAGUAAGAGCAUGGCUGUUGGGACCCGAAAGAUGGUGAACUAUGCUUGAAUAGGGUGAAGCCAGAGGAAACUCUGGUGGAGGCUCGCAGCGGUUCUGACGUGCAAAUCGAUCGUCAAAUUUGGGCAUAGGGGCGAAAGACUAAUCGAACUAUCUAGUAGCUGGUCUGCGA
Molecule: ribosomal RNA, 905 nt
Filed under: Curvularia pallescens
Lineage: Eukaryota; Fungi; Ascomycota; Dothideomycetes; Pleosporales; Pleosporaceae
Description: LSU rRNA
Rfam family: Eukaryotic large subunit ribosomal RNA
Source: RNAcentral